Long non-coding RNA from Drosophila ananassae, 854 nucleotides. RefSeq lists it as uncharacterized. NCBI's taxonomy places the organism in Eukaryota, Metazoa, Arthropoda, Insecta, Diptera, Drosophilidae. The record is from RefSeq and is a predicted model, not a curated record. The transcript has 2 exons.
UAAUUUAAAAUAUUAAUAAUUAAUAAAAAUACUUGCAGCAGUAUUGCAUUGCCGCAGAGCGAAUCGCAGAGCUCAGAGGAUAAUGACAACAUUGAAACGGUCGUUAAAAAGAGCCAAGCUAGAUUUGGAUGCGAAGGAAUGAGGUGAAGACCUCAUUGAAGAAUUGGGACUAGACUUCCUGGGGAUACCACUUUAAAAAAUGCCUACUACUGGUGGGGAUAAAGAGUCAUUUUAUCAUACCCAAUGAUCAAGAUUUAUAAAUAUGUAUAUCUAUUCGAAUUAUAGGCUCUAGGACCUGUACUACCAGAUGGUAGCGUCGAUCCAGACGGUAAAUUGGGAAAAAAUUCCUGGGAACGGCUUCAGAUCUAAAACCUAAAUUGGAGGAGAUCCCAAAGGACGAUGCGAACAUCAAGGAGCCCAAAAGAAAAAGUAUUUAAAAAAGUAUUGUACUUUGCAAAAAAAGUCCUAAAUCCUUUUCUGCUUCUCAAUUUCCGAAAUGAAAAAGAAGAAUAAAAGGAGAAGAAUCUGCUUGGCCUAGGUGGGGCAUGAUCAGGAUAGACAUUUCCUUCACCCUCUAUUAAGAAAGCUAAUAUCCAUCACUAUAGGUGGAUAGCCACCGAUCUUGUCAGUCUUUCCAGUCAAUCUUGUAUUUAUUUAUACGAUAUUCCUUAAUUCUUCGAAAUAUCCUUAAUUCGUCUAUAAUAGAAGGGAGGUCCUAAGCAUAAACCUCUUCUCGGCCUCACUAGUUUUUGCAAUCAAAAGCCCAACUGACCGAGGAGCGCUGUCGCAUAACGUACGACUCGAUCCGAGAUAGAUCCGUGAUAGUUUUCUAUCACGGUAGUAAGUAUCAGGAG